RNAcentral lists this ribosomal RNA (900 nucleotides) under Psychrobacter sp. L-1-16. Its description in RNAcentral is "bacterial SSU rRNA". It matches the Rfam family "Bacterial small subunit ribosomal RNA", at positions 49 to 942 of the family's 1533-position model. Lineage: Bacteria; Pseudomonadati; Pseudomonadota; Gammaproteobacteria; Moraxellales; Moraxellaceae. The record is from RNAcentral.
UUAAACAUGCAAGUCGAGCGGUAACAGGAGAAGCUUGCUUCUCGCUGACGAGCGGCGGACGGGUGAGUAAUACUUAGGAAUCUACCUAGUAGUGGGGGAUAGCACGGGGAAACUCGUAUUAAUACCGCAUACGACCUACGGGAGAAAGGGGGCAGUUUACUGCUCUCGCUAUUAGAUGAGCCUAAGUCGGAUUAGCUAGAUGGUGGGGUAAAGGCCUACCAUGGCGACGAUCUGUAGCUGGUCUGAGAGGAUGAUCAGCCACACCGGGACUGAGACACGGCCCGGACUCCUACGGGAGGCAGCAGUGGGGAAUAUUGGACAAUGGGGGAAACCCUGAUCCAGCCAUGCCGCGUGUGUGAAGAAGGCCUUUUGGUUGUAAAGCACUUUAAGCAGUGAAGAAGACUCCAUGGUUAAUACCCAUGGACGAUGACAUUAGCUGCAGAAUAAGCACCGGCUAACUCUGUGCCAGCAGCCGCGGUAAUACAGAGGGUGCAAGCGUUAAUCGGAAUUACUGGGCGUAAAGGGAGCGUAGGUGGCUCUAUAAGUCAGAUGUGAAAUCCCCGGGCUUAACCUGGGAACUGCAUCUGAAACUGUAGAGCUAGAGUAUGUGAGAGGAAGGUAGAAUUCCAGGUGUAGCGGUGAAAUGCGUAGAGAUCUGGAGGAAUACCGAUGGCGAAGGCAGCCUUCUGGCAUAAUACUGACACUGAGGCUCGAAAGCGUGGGUAGCAAACAGGAUUAGAUACCCUGGUAGUCCACGCCGUAAACGAUGUCUACUAGUCGUUGGGUCCCUUGAGGACUUAGUGACGCAGCUAACGCAAUAAGUAGACCGCCUGGGGAGUACGGCCGCAAGGUUAAAACUCAAAUGAAUUGACGGGGGCCUGCACAAGCGGUGGAGCAUGU